Molecule: ribosomal RNA, 253 nt
Filed under: uncultured bacterium
Lineage: Bacteria
Description: partial 16S ribosomal RNA
Rfam family: Bacterial small subunit ribosomal RNA
Source: RNAcentral
UACGUAGGGUGCAAGCGUUGUCCGGAAUUAUUGGGCGUAAAGAGCUCGUAGGCGGUUCGUCACGUCGGCUGUGAAAACCUGAGGCUCAACCUCAGGCCUGCAGUCGAUACGGGCGGACUUGAGUACUGCAGGGGAGACUGGAAUUCCUGGUGUAGCGGUGAAAUGCGCAGAUAUCAGGAGGAACACCGAUGGCGAAGGCAGGUCUCUGGGCUGACACUGACGCUCAUGCACGAAAGCGUGGGGAGCAAACAGG